UCGAGAAUAAUUCACAAUGGGGGAAACCCUGAUGGUGCAACGCCGCGUGGAGGAUGAAGGUCUUCGGAUUGUAAACUCCUGUCAUCGGGGAGUAAGACCUGGGCGUGAAUAGCGCACAGGGUUGAUAGUACCCGAAGAGGAAGGGACGGCUAACUUCGUGCCAGCAGCCGCGGUAAUACGAAGGUCCCAAGCGUUGUUCGGAAUCACUGGGCGUAAAGGGAGCGUAGGCGGCGUGGUAAGUCAGAUGUGAAAUCCCGGGGCUCAACCCCGGAACUGCAUCCGAUACUGCCGUGCUUGAGGGUUGGAGAGGUAGCUGGAAUUAUCGGUGUAGCAGUGAAAUGCGUGGAUAUCGAUAGGAACACUCGUGGCGAAGGCGAGCUACUGGACAACAUCUGACGCUGAGGCUCGAAGGCUAGGGGAGCAAAAG
Molecule: ribosomal RNA, 427 nt
Filed under: uncultured Verrucomicrobiaceae bacterium
Lineage: Bacteria; Pseudomonadati; Verrucomicrobiota; Verrucomicrobiia; Verrucomicrobiales; Verrucomicrobiaceae
Description: bacterial SSU rRNA
Rfam family: Bacterial small subunit ribosomal RNA
Source: RNAcentral